Molecule: ribosomal RNA, 460 nt
Filed under: uncultured bacterium
Lineage: Bacteria
Description: partial 16S ribosomal RNA
Rfam family: Bacterial small subunit ribosomal RNA
Source: RNAcentral
CCUACGGGAGGCAGCAGUGAGGAAUAUUGGUCAAUGGGCGUAAGCCUGAACCAGCCAAGUCGCGUGCGGGAUGAAGGUUCUAUGGAUCGUAAACCUCUUUUAUAAGGGAAUAAAGUGCGGUACGUGUCUCGUGUUGUAUGUACCUUAUGAAUAAGGAUCGGCUAACUCCGUGCCAGCAGCCGCGGUAAUACGGAGGAUCCGAGCUUUAUCCGGAUUUAUUGGGUUUAAAGGGUGCGUAGGCGGCCUUUUAAGUUAGCGGUGAAAUUUUGGGGCUUAACCAUAGAAUUGCCGUUGAAACUGGUAGGCUUGAGUAUGUUUGAGGCAGGCGGAAUGUGUGGUGUAGCGGUGAAAUGCUUAGAUAUCACACAGAACCCCGAUUGCGAAGGCAGCCUGCCAAGCCAUGACUGACGCUGAUGCACGAAAGCGUGGGGAGCAAACAGGAUUAGAUACCCGGGUAGUC